UACAGAGGUCUCAAGCGUUGUUCGGAUUCAUUGGGCGGAAAGGGUGUGUAGGUGGCGCCGUAAGUCGGGUGUGAAAUUUCGGAGCUUAACUCCGAAACUGCAUUCGAUACUGCGGUGCUUGAGGACUGGAGAGGAGACUGGAAUUUACGGUGUAGCGGUGAAAUGCGUAGAUAUCGUAAGGAAGACCAGUGGCGAAGGCGGGUCUCUGGACAGUUCCUGACGCUGAGGCACGAAGGCCAGGGGAGCAAACGGG
RNAcentral lists this ribosomal RNA (253 nucleotides) under uncultured bacterium. RNAcentral describes it as "partial 16S ribosomal RNA". It matches the Rfam family "Bacterial small subunit ribosomal RNA", at positions 524 to 776 of the family's 1533-position model. The record is from RNAcentral.